GAUCAACACUGAUGUCAUUCAAGCAACAGCUAGAAGACCAACUCUGUCUCCGACUUAUUGAGUUGAAAUGCAUUUAUUUUUCCACUGUUAUGAAAAAAUGCAGAUUUUCCCCUAAGAAGCAUUUUUUUAAUUCAUCGCUUUUUCUUAAAGCCACGUGACAGAAAGCCAGGGCCCAGAUCCUAAGGAGAGGGACCAUCAUGGCACUGUCCAGAUCAGCUUCUUCCACAUGGGAGGGAAAAUGGCUGCUGACGGCUCCCAAGCCUCAAUCCCUUCACCCUUGCCACUGAACUGAAAUGCGAUGCAUUAAAAUGGUCACACACCACGGAUUUUUCUCCUCGCUGCACCCAUGGAGGGAGGCGCUGUCUCCGCCUUUUCCUGUAAGCACCUGCCCGGGGCCCAAGCCCAUAGUGGAUGGGUCGUCCAGCUCAGACAGCGCCCAGGACGCAGUGAGGAAGCAGAAUUGGGCGCUCAAGACUCAGACCCGGCCUGAUGAGCUAAGACUGCUUGCAAGAGGGAGUGGGAGUCGUUAAAAAAAUAUCCUCGUGGCUUAAUG
Long non-coding RNA from Pan troglodytes (chimpanzee), 553 nucleotides. RefSeq lists it as uncharacterized. NCBI's taxonomy places the organism in Eukaryota, Metazoa, Chordata, Mammalia, Primates, Hominidae. The transcript is spliced from 3 exons. The record is from RefSeq and is a predicted model, not a curated record.